GAAUAAAUAAGUCGAUACAGAGACGCCCAUUGGAUCCGAGGCGUUAUUCGUCGUCCUGGUUAUUCCCUGCUUACUGUCUGUUUGUCCUCAUCAGUCUGUCCCAAUGAGGAAAAGCAAAUAAACAAAGAUGAUGUUACGUCAUGUGAGGGGGUGAGAGAGAGAGAGAGAGAGAGAGAGAGAGAGAGAGAGAGAGAGAGAGAGAGAUGGGCACUGGAUGAGAGAAAUAAAUAAAUAAAAAGGUGUUGGCUGAAAAAGGUAUAACAGAGAAAGAGAAAGAAGGCAGGAAAGUAAGGAUCUUGUUUUAUUUCAGUUAUUUAUUUAUUUAUUUUUCUCCCCUGAUCCCUCGUUGACCUUCUGUUUGGAGAGAGGAAGGCAGCAGCACAGCAGAGCAAAGCAGAGCACAGCACAGCAUAGCAGAGCACUACUCACUGGCAAACACAGGAGAGAGGCGCUGCUGCUGCUGCUGCUGCUGAAGCUGCUGCUGCUGAAGCUGCUGAAGCUGCUGCUGCUGAAGCUGCUGCUUCUGAAGCUGCUGCUGCUGAAGCUGCUGAAGCUGCUGCUGCUGAAGCUGCUGCUGCUGAAGCUGCUGCUGCUGCAUCCGGGAUUCACCUCAUCUACACUGGACUGGAUCCUGGAUUGAUCACGGUUUUCCAAAAAAAACAAAAACAAACAAAAAAAAACUGUAGAUUUAAGGCUGGAUGGAGGCGGCACCGGCUCCGCGCCCAUUCAGUGGAGAUCCAGCUGCGACUCCUAAAAGAAGUUCCUUUAUUCCCCUCCCCCCACCACUCCCCCCAAGAGCAGAUCAGCCUCUGGCCCCUGUGUCCAUCCCUCAUCUGGCCCCCAGUGUGGCUUGUUGAGCCGCAUCAGCAACACAUCACUGCCCCUGAAUUCAGAAGUUACGCCUCCCGAAGCGCAAGGACUCCCAUUAAAAGUCUCCAAUCAACCAACAUGAGUGAUCCACAGCUGAAGUGUCCCUUCUACUCUCUUUUGACAUUACUCCACUCGAUUGCCCGUUUACCCCCGAGUCAAGUUCGAGGCGGGCAUGAAGUGUAAAAGAGGUGGGCCAUGUCAUAUCCGCUCAGUGUGCAUGGGAUUGUUGGCAUGCGCGGCGGUGAUCAUUGUUCAGGGAGAACAAUUCUUGCUCAGAGCAGGCAGGGGAAAGUGAGGAGGAUGGUAGGAAAGUGGGUUUGUUCACAGGUUUGUCCUCGCCAGCAGUGGCAGUGUGAGUAUAUCAAAAGCACGUUUUAUGUUUUAUUUGUUCGUUUGUGUUUAAGUCACAUCUGAUCACUGACAAAAUUCCACCAUUAAAUUUGCAAAAUUUGAGUAACAUUUCGCUCUCCUUCCUGGACACAAGGGUAAUUUCAGUAUAAGCCAUAUUAAUAUAAUGAAACACUUACACAUGAACUAUUCCACGCUGAUAAGACAAAAUAUUAGAAUUGAAUAAGUACAAUUGAUGGAGCACUUUGCAUAUAUUCUCUUUGGGGGAUUUCUGAGCGGAAAUGAUUUAAGCUCAUCAGUCAGCAUGUAGAUUAGUUACUGGGCUAGUUAACCAGUUAGCGCGUUUCUUAUUCCUAUUGGUCCUCCAUGGUGGAAAAGAAGAACAAAAAAACUUUUUUUGAGUGCGCAUUUAAAGAAUGAAAUGUUACUGAUACAGUUCAGUAAAUAUUUUCUAAAACGUUAUGCCAGUUGUUUCUUCGUGGUUUAUGCAUACAUAAACUGCUUCAAGAUGGAAACUGAAAUUUUAGUUGCAGCAAUUUAAGUUUUGGAACUCGAUGUUGACUGAAAACGAAUCAUCUGGAAUCUUUCAGCAGAAACGAACCGAAUCUGUAAAAACAUCGAGAUCAGAAUCGGAGCGCUUUGAUUCGAUAACAAUACAAUCGUUUACGUACAUGACAAGAACCUGAUGUUUGCGGUUUUAGGGAAUUGUAUUUUCCAGUCUAAUGACGUACGUCGACUCUGACGUGUACUAUUGCAGAAAAGUAGUGGACCGCGCAUGUUUAUUGCGCACAAAUAAAAUAACUCGCUGACCAAGAGUUAACGUCACCGUUUCAGCGAUUAAUCAAGCAUUCGCCUGGUUGCUAUAGGCAACAGAUUAAGAAUGCAUCCUUGACAUCGUGGGGUCACAGGUGCGUGUUUUGGACUCAGCAGCCAAUCAGAGGUGUUGUGCGUCCCGUAACUGGGAACCGUAGACGACUGAUUAUGGCCGGUAUAUUGGAUCAAUAACUGAUAUCUGGGAGAACCGAGAAGGAUGGAGUGCAGAGACAAGAGGGAAGGAUGAGCCAUUGGACUCUUUAUUAUUAUUAUUAUUAUUAUUAUUAUUUAUUAUUAUUAUUAUUAUUAUUAUUAUUAUUAGCUAGACUUGAUUUGGGUCCUUGCUGACUGGUCAAUCGGGUAUCAAGAUGGUUUUUUUUGUCAAGCUCACCACAUGUAUGCACCCCCCCCCCCCCCCCCCCCCCCGCAAUUUCCGUGUUAAACACGCAAACACCAUAAAUGAGAAACAAGUGAUUCUCAGGCCACAUAAAGUCCUCAAACAAUCUGACCCACAUCCCUCCUCAGCUUGGUCAUCGCCUGGUCAUUCAUUAUUCAGCGGCUCGGAUUAUUAGCCGUAAGAUGGCAGAUGUCAGAGCGCGAUGGAGAUGUUGACGCUCGGCCGACUGGAGGGGCCAUUAUCCCGGCCAGCUUAUCAAACAUUCAUGCGGCAGCUGUGGCUUGUGGCCCGGCCCUCCGUCCUCUGCUCUCACGGGACAACUUCCCGUCACUCCUGAAGCCGCGGUGACCUUUCACCUCGGUGUUAUCGCAAAGCGUUAAAACAAAGAGACGGAGCCCCGCUUGUUUCUGUCGAUUAACAGCAGUCGUCGGUAUAAAUACGUGAAAUACAAUAAAAUUCAUGGCAACUGAAAAAUAUAAAAUUUUGAGUAAGUGACGAGAUCGAAGGUCUGUGACGUCAUAGUGAAAUUCAGCACCUACAGUAAAAUAAAAUAAAAAAAAUAAAACGUCUAUGAGUUUAAUAAGUAGGCCUACAUAAAAUUCAAGCAGUGUUUUUUGUUUGUUUUUUGUUUUUGUGCCGCACAAAAAUUCAAAUUUUACACAUUUUAUUAUCAUGACAUCAUCCCGAAUGUGUCACUGCUCUCGGCAUAAUUAACUCAAUUAACUGGUGGCGUCACGAGGGUGGCAGCAAAAGGUUUGACAAAGUUCAACUUUCUAAAGGUUCGACGUCACAAUCACAAUUAUUUCCCUUAAUGUGAUUUAAAAAUAAAUAAAUAAUAAUAAUAAUAAUAAUUGUUAUUAUUAUUAUUAUUAUUAUUAUUAUUAUUAUUAUUAUUAUUAUUAUUAUCGAAAAGUCUGAAUGUUGAUUGAAAAGUUGAAACAGAAAAAGACGUUUAAAGUUGGCUAAAGUUGGUUUGGGCGGAUCAGCUUGGCUCAGCCAGCUUUAGACACAGAACUUAAAACCCAGAGCUCGUUUUGAUUGUCACUAUAUAACACAAACAUCAAAGUUAUGCUUUCACCGAACGGGUGUGUUUAUUUUGAUAUGACUAUAUCGAUGUAUUAUUUAAAUUACACAUCUGAGUGUUUUUUUUAAAUUUAUGUUGUAUGUAUAAUAAGCCUAAUUAAAAAAGGGAUAAUUGAUACACAUAAUUACUUAUUUCUUUUUGACGUCUUUCUCUCUCUCUUUCUCUUUCUCUCUCUCUUUUUCUCUCUCUCUCUCUCUCCUUCUCUCGCUUGAAACAGAAAAUAAACUUUUUUCCCCAACUUUUCUCAAAUUAACAGUGAUGUUUUUCCUCUUCUGUUUUCGCUUGUCUUCCUUAUUCCGCCACCGACAGCAAAAAAAAAAAAAAUAAAAAAAUAAAACGUCACUUUUCCAGUUUUGUCCCGGUAAACUCGGCUGUUUUUGUCCAGGCUUUAGGAACCAGCGGCUCGGCUUCGGCGUUUCCAUUUGACCGCGGCCGCACAGACCGUCCGCGUCUCUUUGUGAAGGACCCUGUUGAACUGACCCCUCCGCGCCGCGCGCCCUUCUCUGCUCCCGCGCGGCCUCCUUCGAAUCCGCGCGUGCGCGCGCGAGCGCGCGCUGCGGAAUGCGGCCCAGAAUCUCGUGCAGAAGUAAUGGGAAGUAGUCGGAAGGUGAGGUCGGGGGUUCACGGCGGGGCUAAAGACAGUCAUCCGUAGCUUUUUUUUUUUGUUAUUUCAGUUUUUUUCUCUCUCCCAAACUCAACAUCCUUCCUAGAGAAGGAUGUGUCCAGAGUGCCACCGUCCUCACCCCGUCACUGUGCGCACUCUGUUUGUUUUUAUGCGUUUAUUAAAUCUUCCCCCGGCAGGAAAAACCCACCGACAUCACCACGUCACACCCACACACCCACCCCGCUCUGCUCCAUGAGAAACCUGUCUCUGUUUGGACUUGAAAAGUCUGCAGACUGUUUAUGUCCUCAAAAAGGUUUCUGAAAAAAAAAAGAAAGAAAAAGAACAAAAUCCCAAAAAGUAAAGAAAAAAAUAUUAAUAUGAGUACAUUAAAACAAUUAAUGUAAACCUUGAUAUUUCUAAUUUUUUUUUUUGCCUCUGCUCUUUUAUUCAAAUGAAAAAUUAUCCAAUUCUAUGCACACAACUGAUAUUAAAACCUCUCACCCACUCCCAAGUUUCUAAGCAUUAAGAAUUAGGUUUCUUGAUUAAUCCACAGAACAAAUCAUAUUUUAGCUGUGACAUUAAUGUAAGUGUCUGAAAGGAAACAGACUUAUGGAGAGUCUUCUCCCCUCUUCCCCCCUUUUUGGAGCAGAGAUUACUAUUAUCUCAUUAUGGAUAACUGCUUGGAGGUCAGGUGUUAUCAACCAAUUUAAUUGCCACUGUAUUAAUCUUCAAGCUUUUGACCCAAUUUAUAGUAUUUUCUCUCUCCCUCUCUCUCUAAUGAAAUGAGAAUGUAUGUGGAAGGUCUGUGUAAUAUGGAUUUCUUUUUUUUUUUUUUUUUUAGGAAACCAGGUGAAAUAAUUAUUAAAGCUUCACUCUAUUUUUAUGGACGAGAUACUUUGCAAAGACAUAUAUAGUUUUUUGGAGCUUUAUGUCUGUUGAGCUGGAAUUGAAACCUGACGUCUCCUUUGUAAAUACUUUCCUCCCAUUUCCAAGCAUGUAUUUGUUAGAGAUGAACCGAACCUGCUCCGAACCGACUUUAUGUCAAUUUCAGUUUAUAAACAUUGAGUUUUCUUCACAAGUGUACGAGUGUGGAAUUUUUUUUAAUGCUUUUAUGAGGUUGACGUUGGAAACAUUUUAGUCUUUUCUACAGCCAAUGCCACUUUACAUUCAGAAUCUUCUCACACAAUUUGAUUUUAUUUCUUUACAUUUUCUGCAUUUUCACCGUGUGAAACUUUCUAACUUUCUAACGAGCCUCUUUCUGGCAAAACGGGAGCCUAAAAGUUUGAACUUAUACAUUUUGGGGUUUUGUAUUUCCUGACUUGUGCUUUGUUGAAAAUGCGCUGCUCUGUUUCACAUGCUCGCCUAACAGUUUACUGUGAUGUAACGAAAUAUUUUUGAUGCAUAAAAAAAGUUGCAAAUAAAACACAUUGAGUCAUUUUCUUUUA
Poeciliopsis prolifica (blackstripe livebearer) is the source of this 5561-nucleotide long non-coding RNA. RefSeq lists it as uncharacterized. The record is from RefSeq and is a predicted model, not a curated record. The transcript has 5 exons. NCBI's taxonomy places the organism in Eukaryota, Metazoa, Chordata, Actinopteri, Cyprinodontiformes, Poeciliidae.